This 414-nucleotide ribosomal RNA is filed under the name uncultured microorganism. RNAcentral describes it as "bacterial SSU rRNA". It matches the Rfam family "Archaeal small subunit ribosomal RNA", at positions 459 to 872 of the family's 1478-position model. The record is from RNAcentral.
CAGCCGCCGCGGUAAUACCGGCGGCCCGAGUGGCGGCCACUAUUAUUGGGCUUAAAGCGUCCGUAGCCGGGUUGGUUAGUCUCCCGGGAAAUCUGGCCGCUUAACGGUCAGAAUUCCGGGAGAUACUGCCAGCCUAGGGACCGGGAGAGGCCGAGGGUAUUCCCGGAGUAGGGGUGAAAUCCUAUAAUCCCGGGAGGACCACCUGUGGCGAAGGCGCUCGGCUGGAACGGGUCCGACGGUGAGGGACGAAGGCCAGGGGAGCAAACCGGAUUAGAUACCCGGGUAGUCCUGGCUGUAAACGAUGCGGACUUUGUGUCGGACAAGCUAUGAGCUUGUCCGGUGCCGGAGGGAAACCGUUAAGUCCGCCGCCUGGGGAGUACGGCCGCAAGGCUGAAACUUAAAGGAAUUGGCUGG